RNAcentral lists this unclassified non-coding RNA (289 nucleotides) under uncultured Tuber. RNAcentral's name for it is "sequence contains ITS2". The record is from RNAcentral. Lineage: Eukaryota; Fungi; Ascomycota; Pezizomycetes; Pezizales; Tuberaceae.
AACGCACAUUGCGCCCUUUGGUAUUCCUUAGGGCAUGCCUGUUCGAGCGUCACUAAAAACCACCUCACAGAUAAUGUGGUAUUGGUAGAAGUGGGUAGUACUAACAGUACUUGGUCCUACUCUACUGAAAUCAAUAGGCCAGAAAAGUGGACCAUGGUAACAGACUCUCAGAGUGUUUUAAAAUGCUAAACUAGUCUUAUCCAGGUUGAAAUCUGAGCCACUGGACCCCCAUUUAGUCCAAAACAGAGAGGUUGACCUCGGAUCAGGUAGGGAUACCCGCUGAACUUAA